RNAcentral lists this ribosomal RNA (253 nucleotides) under uncultured bacterium. RNAcentral describes it as "partial 16S ribosomal RNA". It matches the Rfam family "Bacterial small subunit ribosomal RNA", at positions 524 to 776 of the family's 1533-position model. The record is from RNAcentral.
GACAGAGGGUGCAACCGUUGUUCGGAAUUACUGGGCGUAAAGCGCGUGUAGGCGGCUUCGCAAGUCGGAUGUGAAAUCCCACGGCUCAACCGUGGAAGUGCAUUCGAAACUGCAAGGCUAGAGUCCUGGAGAGGAAGGUGGAAUGCUUGGUGUAGAGGUGAAAUUCGUAGAUAUCAAGCGGAACACCGGUGGCGAAGGCGACCUUCUGGACAGUGACUGACGCUGAGACGCGAAAGCGUGGGGAGCAAACAGG